ACCAAGGCGACGAUCGGUAGCCGGACUGAGAGGUUGAACGGCCACAUUGGGACUGGGACACGGCCCAGACUCCUACGGGAGGCAGCAGUGGGGAAUAUUGCACAAUGGGGGAAACCCUGAUGCAGCGACGCCGCGUGGAGGAAGAAGGUCUUCGGUUGUAAACUCCUGUUGUUGAGGAAGAUAAUGACGGUACUCAACAAGGAAGUGACGGCUAACUACGUGCCAGCAGCCGCGGUAAAACGUAGGUCACAAGCGUUGUCCGGAAUUACUGGGUGUAAAGGGAGCGCAGGCGGGAAGACAAGUUGGAAGUGAAAUCCAUGGGCUCAACCCAUGAACUGCUUUCAAAACUGUUUUUCUUGAGUAGUGCAGAGGUAGGUGGAAUUCCCGGUGUAGCGGUGGAAUGCGUAGAUAUCGGGAGGAACACCAGUGGCGAAGGCGGCCUACUGGGCACCAACUGACGCUGAGGCUCGAAAGUGUGGGUAGCAAACAGGAUUAGAUACCCUGGUAGUCCACACUGUAAACGAUGAUUACUAGGUGUUGGAGGAUUGACCCCUUCAGUGCCGCAGUUAACACAAUAAGUAAUCCACCUGGGGAGUACGACCGCAAGGUUGAAACUCAAAGGAAUUGACGGGGGCCCGCACAAGCAGUGGAGUAUGUGGUUUAAUUCGACGCAACGCGAAGAACCUUACCAAGUCUUGACAUCCUGCGACGGACAUAGAAAUAUGUUUUUCCUUCGGGACGCAGAGACAGGUGGUGCAUGGUUGUCGUCAGCUCGUGUCGUGAGAUGUUGGGUUAAGUCCCGCAACGAGCGCAACCCUUAUGGUCAGUUACUACGCAAGAGGACUCUGGCCAGACUGCCGUUGACAAAACGGAGGAAGGUGGGGAUGACGUCAAAUCAUCAUGCCCUUUAUGACUUGGGCUACACACGUACUACAAUGGCGUUAAACAAAGAGAAGCAAGACCGCGAGGUGGAGCAAAACUCAGAAACAACGUCCCAGUUCGGACUGCAGGCUGCAACUCGCCUGCACGAAGUCGGAAUUGCUAGUAAUCGCAGAUCAGCAUGCUGCGGUGAAUACGUUCCCGGGCCUUGUACACACCGCCCGUCACACCAUGAGAGCCGGGGGGACCCGAAGUCGGUAGUCUAACCGCAAGGAGGACGCCGCCGAAGGUAAAACUGGUGAUUGGGGUGAAGUCGUAACAAGGUAGCCGUAGGAGAACCUGCGGCUG
Molecule: ribosomal RNA, 1227 nt
Filed under: metagenome
Description: bacterial SSU rRNA
Rfam family: Bacterial small subunit ribosomal RNA
Source: RNAcentral